UACAGAGGGUGCAAGCGUUAAUCGGAAUUACUGGGCGUAAAGCGUGCGCAGACGGUUAUAUAAGUCGGGUGUGAAAGCCCGGGCUCAACCUGGGAAUUGCAUUCGAGACUGUGUAGCUAGGGUACGGAAGAGGGAAGCGGAAUUUCAGGUGUAGCGGUGAAAUGCGUAGAUAUCUGAAGGAACACCAGUGGCGAAAGCGGCUUCCUGGUCCAGUACCGACGUUCAGGCACGAAAGCGUGGGGAGC
Molecule: ribosomal RNA, 245 nt
Filed under: uncultured Methylosoma sp.
Lineage: Bacteria; Pseudomonadati; Pseudomonadota; Gammaproteobacteria; Methylococcales; Methylococcaceae
Description: partial 16S ribosomal RNA
Rfam family: Bacterial small subunit ribosomal RNA
Source: RNAcentral